This is a long non-coding RNA of Vitis vinifera (wine grape), 970 nucleotides long. RefSeq lists it as uncharacterized. The record is from RefSeq and is a predicted model, not a curated record. The transcript is spliced from 2 exons. NCBI's taxonomy places the organism in Eukaryota, Viridiplantae, Streptophyta, Magnoliopsida, Vitales, Vitaceae.
GGUUGGGUUCUCCUCUCUUUUUGUCCAUUUUCCACUCUUUUUCUCCUCCCAUAAAACCAAAUCAUUAUAUAUUCAUCAUUAUGUUCAUGAUAGCCCAAUACCCAUAUCUCUUCUCUCUCUAAGCUUGACAUUCUAUGGAGAUAAGAAGAAAGAAAGAAAGAAAUAACAGGAGAGAAAAUGGAAAGAAAGAUGGAAAAAAGAGAGAGUGGAAGCUUCUGCUUUGAGGGGAUUGUUGUCUGGCUCGAGGCCACCAACCAUCUUUGAUUGAUUCAAAUACUUUGAUCAGCUUCAACCCAUCUUCUCCUUCAAUUCAAUUCCACCCUCUGAUUAUGUGUUAGUGCCCUCGGACCAGGCUUCAUUCCCCUCAAUCACUGCUCCCCAAUCGGCCCAGAGAUGAUCAAACAUAUGGUAAGUUGGAGCUGUAUAUGGGUUUGUCAGUAUGUGAUACUGCAUUUGGACUCCACUAACUUCUGGUUUCAUGGGAUCUUUCUGUGAUUAUUAUCAUCUUCGACCUCUCUCUCUUGGGUAAGUGACAAUGCACAUUAAGUAUAUAUAUAUACUCUUCUCAUUAUGGAGUGUUUGGCAUUUUGAAGUGUCUAGCUCCCUUGGUUCUUUAGUUUUUCUGUGCAGAAGUGUUGUUUGGAAGGCAAGAAACCAGGGUGAGAAAGAUGAAAAGGCUUUACAUGGAGUUUUGAAUUGAUACUACUGCAUAAAGCACUUGGAAUAGUUUUAUCUUCUGCCGGUGGUGGUGGGUGGCAGCCUGGCAGCUGUGCAGUGCACUGAACAAUAAGAGAAUAUUUAUAUAAUAUUGUAUAAUUUUAUUCAUACUGUUCAGGCUGCUUAUGAUCAUCUCCCACCAUAUGUAGAAUAAUAAUAUAAGCAAUACCCAUAUAUUUUGUUUUGAUUUGGAGCUAGUAUGACAACAUUACUAGUUUACUCAAUGGAGAGUAAUAGUCGUGAGUUCUUGUGC